Arabidopsis lyrata subsp. lyrata is the source of this 1053-nucleotide long non-coding RNA. RefSeq lists it as uncharacterized. The record is from RefSeq and is a predicted model, not a curated record. Lineage: Eukaryota; Viridiplantae; Streptophyta; Magnoliopsida; Brassicales; Brassicaceae. The transcript has 2 exons.
UCUUUUUACCAAAAAUAGCCUUACGCGUGUUUCCACGCGUCUCUCUCAUUUAUAUAAACUAUCAUCUCUCUUGCUUAUCCAACCUCUCUCUUCUACAUCAAUCAAUCAGUUUUCUAAUUUUCUUUCAAUCAUUGUAUCUCUUCUCCGGCGAAGUUUUUUUUUUCGCCGUUGUUUCUAUUUCUCGCAGUCAACAAGAAUUUUCAUCUUCUUUUACGGACUAUGGCGGAUCUAGAUCUUCCUGCUAGAUUAUUCGCCGAUCGAGAAGAAUAUGUGGGUGAGCGUGUUAACCAGUACUUCAAGCUACACAUGAUUAAAGCUGUCCUGAAGGCUUUACAACCGACGAAGCUUGAAUUGAUUCGGCCGUGUUUUGGGAAAUUGCUCGAUUCACAUCGCCAUUGUUUAUUCAUCGAAAAAAGAUAACUUUCAUUAUACAAAUAAGGAUGUAAAACAUUUUUGGGAUCUUCACAAAUAGAUCUACAAAGUAUAGAUGCAGAUAUAAGGAUAUUUGUGGAAAUGAGUCAAGAUUGAGAGAAAUACACUAUAAUACCAAAACAAGAAAUUUUAGAGUGAAAAGGAAGAAGACGAUGGAGCAUAGCCUAUGCAUGAAAUCAAUCAAACCAUGCUUUUUUCCUAGGAAAAAAAUUCGAAUUUCAUAAAAUAUUCUCAAUUACUUAAUGAAUUAAUUUAUCUAUAAAUUUAGAUACAUGUUCAUCUACUUUCAUAGAGUCAUAUAUCAAACUAUAAGUGCUACAUUUAUUAAUAUAUAUCUACGUUAUUAGGUUAGUGGUUUAAAUUUUCUAAUUUGCGUCCAUAAGUUUUUGUUAUAGAUUCAAAUGUAGGUGUCUAAAUACAUUUUCUAUUAGACAUGCAGAGAUGAAGUUCGGUGGUGGGCCACGUAAGGAUCAUUUAUUAGUUCAACUGGUUGGCAUUUAUGAAUUGUCAGAAUGUUAUUUCACUUACUCGUAAAGCCGUGGUUGUAGCGCCCACGCGCAUAUAUUUCACGAGCUCUGGUUUUUCUGUAAUAAGUAUGUAAAUCAGACCCAUUUUCACCAA